Molecule: long non-coding RNA, 8766 nt
Filed under: Citrus x clementina
Lineage: Eukaryota; Viridiplantae; Streptophyta; Magnoliopsida; Sapindales; Rutaceae
Description: Citrus clementina (C. clementina) long non-coding RNA (CCLE_LNC000062)
Source: RNAcentral
CCCAUGCCACCACAUCUUGGGAGCCCUAAUUGGUACCUCCAUCAUUAAUAAUAUUACAACUAGCAGAUCCUAUACUCCCAUCACCAUGCAUCCAAACCAACUUGAUGUUCUACUUUUGCAGCUGCAACACCAACGCCAACAUUAAUCACAGUGCCUUUUUUAAAUCCUCCGUCCAUGUGAUUUGCCGCCGCGCGCGGCCAACACUUGUUUUUUCUUCAAAUCCAUCUUCAAAGCAGCCUUCAGAAGUUUCGUUUUUCUCAAUUUGCUUCCGGCAUUGAGCUAUCCCUAUAACCAAUAUUAACCGAAAAGUCACAGGCAGCACGCCGAUGUACUUGGAAUGUUUUCUCAUGUUUUAAAAAGACAACACACAGAAUGAGCAAUAGAUAUGAUUAUGCUCUUGCUUGGUGUUACAACGCUUGGAGUGGUGACCCUUAUUUGUAGUGCUAAGAGUAAUGGAAAUAAAUUAAACUUGGGAUACAUAGACGCAGCUGUUCAUCUUUAUUCCAUGCAGACGAGAAAAUUCAUGGAUCCACGUACGUGCAGCACAAAAAUUGUAUCGAUAUGCAAGAAAACAUGCAUGCAAACGCGAAAUGAUAAUGUGGCUAAACUGGCCAUAAUUUUACGCGCAAAGUUUGACAUAAGACGAAAACAUAAUUUCUCGCCAUUGAGAACAACUGCAUGCACAGAGAUAUUGAUUGAGAGCACGCGUCAAAUAUCAUUUUAUUUAUUCCAGAGAUAGGUGUUGUUACUUAUUGAGACACUUGGUAUGAAACAACCCAUGCACGCACAAGCAUGGUUUUAUAGCAGGCUCGGUAGCUAGGAAAAUAUUAGAAUCAAAAGUUGCCUCCAAUUCCCCCACCAGCACCACCACCAAAACCUCCACCACCUCCUUUGCCUCCUCCAAUGCCACCACCAGCACCAACACCUCCACCAAAUCCUCCUCCACCUCCUGCACCACCACCAGCUCCACCUCCUAUGCCGCCACCUUUUCCAGCCCCAGCACCACCUCCUACGCCACCUCCAGCUCCACCUCCUAUACCACCACCUUUUCCACCCCCAAUGCCACCACCAACUCCUCCACCAUGUCCACCACCAAUACCCCCACCAGUGCCUCCUCCGGCCCCACUUCCUAGUCCACCACCUUUUCCACCUCCAAUGCCACCACCAGCACCCCCACCAGCGCCCCCACCGCCUCCUAUUCCACCACCUUUUCCGCCUCCAAUGCCACCACCGGCGCCCCCGCCUAAACCACCACCAUGUCCACCUCCAGCACCAUCACCGCCUCCAAGACCUCCACCUGCUCCUGCACCACCCCCACCACCAAAACCACCUCCAAUGCCUUUAGAAAAUUCAUCUUCCUCAAGUUUCCUACAUUCCGAAAUUCCUAUGACCAACGCAAAGAACACAACCAUCACACCAACAGACUUAAAUAUUAGUUUCCCCAUAUUUCUAAAAGAGUCGAAGAAAGACACAAAUGCUUGCUUUGUGAUGCUAAGCUUCAAAGGCUUAGUGCUCUAUUUAUAGAGUAACCAAGUGGCACACUUUAUUGCGUGUACUAAUCUUACUUAAUGAAAUGUCCCAAAAUUCAACUCAGUUUGAAUAGAAUCGUCAAUUGCUGGUGAAAUAAUAGUGAAGCUGUCACCAUUACUCAACUACUAACCUAAUGCAUGUCUCCACUCACCACCGUCACAAGUAAUUUACAAUUAAACCAUAUAUUUCUGACGACUAUUAAUUUUUAUCAACUAAGAUUAUCAGAAGAAAAGCUCAAUUAAGAGAUUUGGAAAUAUGAUGGCAUGGUAUCAAAUCAAAUGGACCGCACUAUAUAUUAGCAAGAAGUUGAUUCCAGUUUAGGAAACCAAAAAUGUAAUUGAUUCGAGUGGUGCUACCGAUUUAGUGUAAGCUUGUUAGCUUUGGUAUUUGUACUUUAUCAAAAAAAAAAAAAAAAAAAACUUUGGUAUUUGUACUUUGGGCUUUAGCCUUAUGCUACAGGAAUUUGAUAGUAUCUUCCAAAAUGAAGCUACUUUUUACGCAUCACAUUCACAUUUACCAGCUCUUAAUAAUGAAAGAAUGAUAUUGGAUUUUGUAAGUAAUAUCUCAAAUUUUUAUCUCGAAUAUUGAUGUGUCACUCAUUUAUUAUAUAAAAUAAUAAAUUUCAGUACUUGUAAAAUUAUUAAUCAUUCUACUUACAUUAUUCAAUAUCAUACUAAUAAAUGAAUGUCGUUUCAUUUCAAACUAAACAAUACUACUCAAGAAGUGUUGAAUUACUUAUUAUAAAAAUCUCCAUAUUAACCAUUUUUUUUGCCAGCAUGGAAGGAGUGGAAAGGGGAAGCAUCUAUACAUUUAUCAUUGAUCAUAAUUUAAUACUUUUAACAUAUUUUUUCUUUUUAAAAAAAAUUAUUUUCGGCCAUAUAUAUAUAGUCGUUCAAAAUUUCCAUAGGCCGCCAAUGGGUUCAUAGUCCAUUGACAUCCUGUUCUUGAGCGCAUGGAUUCCAGUACUAGUAAUGACUCGGACACGACUCUCAUCUCAAUAAGGAUCUAUUUGUCUCUCUUCUUAGUGGGGAUCUACCUUAUUGUAAUGCAUCAGCAUAUAAAAAAAAAAAAAAAAUUCCUUGCUCCACUACAUCUUUGGUGUCCUAUGCAUCAUAGAAUUGAUUGUUCUCCAUAAGCAAAACCCAGAUCACUUUUAUUCCUAGAACCAAUCUCAUAAACACUAUUCACGAUUUCACAUCACCAUCAAAAUUACCAUCAGAUCCUUGCUUUUCAACCCUUGCGGCUGCAGCUCCAGCGUUAGUCAAACUGCCGCCACUAAUCCUUGCACUGUCCCCUAACGUUUCUGCAAUAAUACUAGUUGCAUGUGGAUGAUAAAUCAUAUUUUAGAGCUUCCGGCAUUGGCUGUCCCAAUCGUCAGUACAAACAUUAAAGUCACCAAGCUAACACGUACAUUGUGAGAAUUUUGCCGUCUUUCUAUUUUAUUCAAGCAAAAGAUCGAUCGAAAGGAAGAAAAGAAAGCUUGUUUUAUGGCAUUGGCAGGCUCAGUGGGAGGCCCUAUUUGUAGCGUAUGAAAUAGUAGAAAAUGUUAAUGCAAUCUGUUCAUAUUUGUUCGUCAGAUGUUACUGUCAUCGAUCAGGAGUACGUAAACGUAAUAAAUUUUAAUUCCGAAUUAAAAAUUUUGAAAAGAUUUAAGCUCAAUAAUUUUGAGACGUGUACAUUUGCACGAUAGAGAUAUAUAAGAAAUCCUUUUUUUUUUUUGGGUGGCGCAAUUGAUCCACUUAAAUUUACUGUUUAUAUGUCCAAAAUCUGAAACACAAAUAUAAUUGAUUUGAGAAGUUAUCUUGGAUCCAAUACACUAACAAUCAUCAAUCGCGUAAGUGAUUGUCAAACAAAAUUUGAGAAUGGAUUCUCAUAAAAAAAAGGUGAUAAUCAGAAUAUCACCUUGGUUCUUUUUUUACUUUCACAUGCAAAUAGUGAGAAAGGGAAUGGAACUUUCUAUUUCACUAUUCAUAAAUAUUUAUUCCUAGUGGGAGAUCUUAUUCAUAUAUUUAUGCUAUCAUUAGUUACUGAAUUCUAGAAAAUUAGGAAAUCGCCCACAAUUGUAUAUAUCCCCAUGCCACCACAUCUUGGGAGCCCUAAUUAGUACCUCCAUCAUUAAUAAUAUUACCACUGGCAGAUCCUACACUCUCAUCACCAUGCAUCCAAACCAACUUGAUGUUCUACUUUUGUAGCUGCAACACCAACGCCAACAUUAAUCACAGUGCCCUUUUUAAAUCCUCCGUCGGUGUGAUUUGCGGCUGCGCGCGGCCAGCACUUGUUUUUUUGUCCAAAUCUAUCUUCGAAGCCGCCUUCAGAAGUUUCGUUUUUUUCUCAAUUUGCUUCCGGCAUUGAGCUAUCCCUAUAAUCAAUGUUAAUAGAAACGUCACAGCUAACACGCCGAUGUACUUGCAAUGUUUUCUCAUGUUUUAAAAAGACAACACACAGAAUGAGCAAUAGAUGUGAUUAUGUUCUUGCUUGGUGUUACAACGCUCGGAGCGGUGACACUUAUUUAUAGUGCAAGAGUAAUGGAAUUAAAUUAAUGCAUUCAGUUGAAGAUGUUUCUAUGACAGAAAUUUCUAUAAUGCGGUGUUUAAAAUUAUGUUGUCAAUGACAUAACAAACAUAAAUUUUGUAUAAGAUUAGUAAAUAGAAGGUAAAACAAGUAAAUUAAUAUAAGAGUGGUAAAUAUGUGUUUUAAAAUAACAAACAAAAUAAACAAUUAUAAAAAUAACACAAAAUUUGUAAAUCAACAUUAAAAUUUAAUUAAAAAUAUUUUAUUCAUUUAAUUUAAUUAACCAAAGAAAAAAAUUCACUCAUCAAUUUGAAAAUAAAAAAAAUUGUAUUGAGAACAAUUGGAAUAAGGAUUGAAUUUUAUUGAAUUAGUAUAACCAUGAGUUCUAUAUUCAUCCUAGGACAUUUAUAAUUUUUUUUUAUCAUAGUAUUUGUUUAUUAUGAAAAAUUAUUUUUCUUGAUGUGGAUCAAGCCAAAAACAAAAAGAUAUUCAUAUAUUAGUAGACAUAUAUGAUAUAUGAUGUAGGAUGUUAUGUGUCGCGAGUAGAGUACUUUUCGGAGGCCAUAACUUGGACUACAUGUGUUUGUUUUUGGCAUAUAAUAUAUUAUUUCGAAGCUUACGAUGAGACGAACAAAAUUCAAAACUGCCUAAGUCGUUCUACCCUGUGAUCAAGCUGGAAAUUCUACUACUUUCCUGGUCAUUUUAUAGUUUUAAGAUUUUUCCCUAUUUUUUCUAUUUUUUCUUGGAUUUUUAUCUUCUCUUUAGAAUUCGAAUUUGAGUGUCAUUUGAGUGUCAUUUGUUUUUCUUUUCUUAUUUUGAUUAGAAAAUUUUAAUUAUUAUAUUAUAUUUCGGAUUUUCUUAUUUUGGUACAUUCACGAUAUUUAGGCUUAUUAUAAAAGAGGCUCAAAACUCUAAUAUUAUUCAAUCAAACUUUCAACAAGAUUUACCAUUAUUCAGAAACCUAGUUUCUUUUAUCAGCAAACUCAACAACGUUUGUGUUUUGUCAAUAUAUUUAUAACAUUGGAUAUAGUUUUGAGUUUUAUACAUAUUUCAUGUAGUUUCAAAAUUUGUUUUUGACUAUACUUAGGGUGCGUUUGGAAUUGAGGUGUUAUAGCUUUUAAGAUACAGCUGCUGUGGAAAAAAAUUGUAACUAUGAAAUAAAAGUUAAUAAUAUGUAAUAAAUAUAAAUUUUGAAUAAUAUGUUAGCCUAAAGGGCUACACAUAUUGUAAUUUUGAUGAUAACAAACAUAUGUAUUAAGUGAUUUAAUAAAUAUUAUAUUUCACAUUUUCACUAGUUUUUGAAGGGUAAUAUUUAUACAAGUGAAUCAAGUGAAAUCAAGCUCAAGACACUAAACGGACAACGACGAAAUCAAGAAUAAAAUUUAGAGCUCAACGGACAAAUUAGUGUGAUAAAUUCUUGUAAAGCCGGUAUGAUUAAAUUGAUGCAUGAUUUAGCAUUUGAGAAGCUCAAGAGAUUAAUUUAAUUAAUCACUUUUUAUAAACUAAAAGGUUUUAUUUUUAUAAGAUAAAGUACCUUGUGGUUUUGAGUAAUUUGGACUUAAAUGCUAAGUUUUGAAAUCUUUGAUUUUAAUAAGUAUUAUAAUUAAAUUUCAGAGUUGGACGUUUUUACAAACAUUUGAAAUGUUUUGGGUCAUACUAUAAUUUAUUAAUAGUUUGGACUAAAGUGAAAAAUUUUGAGAACUUUGAUAAAUAUGGGUAUUAUGUUGAAAAUGAAUUUUUUGCGAAAUAAUAAUAUAUUUGGGGCCAUGUCAUAAUUUCAAAAAGUUUUGAGUUGACAAUCAUUAUUAGGAAAUUCUGAAAUUGGACCUAUUUAUAAAGUUUUAUAAUAUUUGGGCCAUAGUAUAAUUAUAUAAAGUUUUGGGCUAAAUAUAAUUUUGAUAAACAGUAUUACUGUAGCAAAAUUCAAAAAUAACGGUGAAUGGCUAGCUGGAUAAAUCAAGCGGCUAACCACUUGGGCGUUGGAAUUUACCUAUAACAGCUAACCGCCCGAGCGGCUAACCGCCCAAGCGGUUAGGAAUUUACCUAUAACGGCUAACCGUUUGGGCGCUGGAAUUUACCUAUAACGGCUAGUUUUCGGACUUUAAUUAUAAAAACUCAACUCCAACUUCAUUUUAAGAACUAAUACAAGGAAAAACAACAUCAUAUAACAUAUAUUGAGCUUCCAUUUUCGUAAAUCAUCAUUGAGCUAUAAUUUGUUAUCUACUCUUAAAGAGAGUUUCAUUGUUGUGAUUUUCAUUUCUCAUCAAAUUGUGAGUGUUCAAGUGUGAGAAACACUUGGGGUGAAGAGAUUGGGGAGAUAAUCUCUUGUUGUAAAGGUCCAUUGACAUUUUGGAAGUCAAUUGUAAACAUUUGAAGCAUUGUGAGGCUUGGAUAGUGAAAUCCUCAAGCCGAGUGUGCUUGGAGGCGUGGACGUAGGCGGGGAUAGCCGAACCACGUAAAAAUCUUUGUGUUUGUUUUCUCUUCCCUUACUCUUUUAAUAUUGUGCUUGAUUGAAUUUAUUGUUUUUGAUUUGAUUAAGGCAAUAGAUUAAAUUGUUGUGUGAAUUAUGUUGCAUAAUUUUAAAAUCCCAAUUCACCCGCCCUCUUGGGUUGCAUAACUUGCAUUUCAUAAUAAUUUUGAUAAAAUUAUUGAAGAUAUAAUAUAUUUUUCAUCAUAUAAGUGAAAAACCAUAUUAAUAUAGCUUCCAAGCUACAAAAGCUAGUGUUUGUCAAAUACUUUAGUGCUGUAACUUUUAAACUACAACUGCCCAACCUCAAUCCUAAACGCACCUUUAAAGAUUAUUUGAUGUUGUUUAAGGAGCUUCAAAAUGAUAAAAAAAACAUGAAAAGUAUCAUUUUUUUUAAAAUCUAAUUUUGAGAUAAAUUUUAUCCUUAACAAAAUUUCACAUAAAUCAUCACAUAAAUUACAUAAACUCAAAAUUAUCAUUAUUCAAUUUAGAUGUAAAAUCAGAAAAUAUAUAAGGUAAUUAUUAUUAUAAUGAGUUUUUAAUUUGCAUUUGUAGGUUUUUAUUUUUAUCAAUAACUCUUAUAUUAAUUUAUUUGUUUUACCGUCUAUUUACGAGUCGUGUGUUUUGUUUAUAUAAUUUUUGUUUUAUUUUUUAUUUAAUGUUGAUUUACAAGUUUUAUAUUAUAUAUGUAAGUUUUUGUUUUGUUUACUAAUGAUACACUAAUUUACCACUCUUAUAUUAAUCUACUUGUUUUAUCUUCCAUUUAUAAUUCUUAUAUUUCAUUUACCUAAUUUAUAUUUUAUUUUACACUUAUUAUUGAUUAACAAGUUUAUGUUAGAUUUGCCCUUUGUUUUGUUUGCCAUUGAUACACCAAUUUGACACUCAUACGUUACUUUAGUUUUUUUUAAUCUUCUAUUUACAUCAUUUAUAGUUUAUUUACACUUAAUAUUGAUUUACAAAUUUUAUAUUAUAUCUGUAAUUUUUUUGUUUACUAAUAAUACAUCAAUUUACCAAUAUUAUUACGUUGAUUUUGCUUAUCUUACCUUCCAUUUACAGGUCUUGUGUUUUAUUUACAUAAUUUAUAUUUUUAUUUUACACUUGAUUUACACAUUUUAUGUUACAUUUGUAAGUUUUUGUUUUAUUUACAAAUAAUAUACCAAUUUGCCACUCCUAUGUUAGUUUACUUAUUUUACCUUCCACUUAAAACUCUUAUGUACCAUUUACAUAAUUUAUGUUUUAAUUUAUAUUUAAUAUUGAUUUAUAAGUUUUAUAUUAAAUUUACAUGUCUUAUGAUUCGUUUAUAAAUAAUGUUUGAUUAUGGUAUUAAUGCCAUGAUUUUGAUUACGACAUCAUAAACUGAGAUAAAAUUAGGUUUUACUUUAAGUUAACAUGAAAGUGGCAUGUGGUUUUUUCCCCAACAAAAUAAAAAUUAAAUGGUUGGAUUGGUAUUUAUUAGAUUUGAACACAUAAGUCCAUAAUUAAUCCCAUAACAUUGGAUUUUCCGUUUUGCAAUCCAAUACAAAAAAUCGUUUGGUUUCGAUUAGAUCUAUUAGUUUGAUUGGAUUGAAUUAGAUCUUAAAUACCUCUAAUUUGUUCAACAUCAAUUUGUUUCAUUUGAAUUUAUGGAUACGCGGGCUCAAUUUGAUCUUUAAUAGAUCUCUUCAUACCGGACCUAUUGAUAAUAUACAUGAUCUAUCCGAAGAAUAUUGGUUCUUUUUAAUUUCUUCUUCUCGUAAAUUUUAUUAAAAAAAAAAACUACAAUCCUGUAGACUUUGCUAUAUACAGAGGUUAAUUAAAAAAAAAAAAGGUCUUAAAAAAUUUUAUAAAUUAAGUUUCACUUUCAAUGGAUUAGAAAUUUUGAACUUGGGAUACAUAGAUGCAGCCGAUCAUCUUUAUUCCAUGCAGACAAGAGAAAAUGCAUGGAUCCACGCACGCGCAGCACAAAAAUUAUAUCGAUAUACAAGAAAACAUGCAUGCAAAUGCAAAAUGAUCAUGUGCAAAAACUCGGACGCGAGAGUCACGACCUCUUGGCUAAACUGGCCAUAUAUAAUUUUACGAGCAAAGUUUGAAAUAAGAUGAAAACAUAAUUUCUCGCAAUAAACCUACCAUUGAGAACAACUGCAGGUAUAGAGACAUUGAUUAAGAGCACACGUUAAAUAUCAUUUUAUUUAUUCUAGAGAUAGAUGCUGUUACUUGUGAGAUACUUGAUUUUCUCGCUACAUAUCUAUGAAACAGCCCAUGCACGCACAAGCACGGUU